This 335-nucleotide unclassified non-coding RNA is filed under the name soil metagenome. RNAcentral's name for it is "partial contains 5.8S ribosomal RNA, internal transcribed spacer 2, and large subunit ribosomal RNA". The stretch from base 1 to 120 matches the Rfam family "5.8S ribosomal RNA", at positions 35 to 154 of the family's 154-position model. The record is from RNAcentral.
GAUGAAGAACGUAGCGAAAUGCGAUAAGUAGUGUGAAUUGCAGAAUUCAGUGAAUCAUCGAAUCUUUGAACGCACAUUGCGCCCUUUGGUAUUCCUUAGGGCAUGCCUGUUCGAGCGUCAUUUAAACCUUCAAGCUCAGCUUGGUGAUGGGUGACUGUCCUCCCCUCGCGGGGGGACUCGCCUCAAAAACAUUGGCGGCCGGUACAUUGGCUUCGAGCGCAGCAGAAACGCGGUCUCGAGUCCGGUGGAUCGGCUCCCAUAAGUCUAUUCUUUUAUUUUGACCUUGGAUCAGGUAGGGAUACCCGCUGAACUUAAGCAUAUCAAUAAGCGGAGGA